UUAAUUUAUUUUCUCGUUUACUCGACGCAAAGAUGCAGAGUUGUGUGGUCCUCCGAGGGCGCCGCGAGGCAAUCCCCCGAGGCAACAAUGGACGGUAAUCAAAGGGUUGGAGGUCGGGCCGUGAGGCCCUUCACUCGGUAAUGAUCCCUCCGCAGGUUCACCUACGGAGA
This 170-nucleotide unclassified non-coding RNA is filed under the name uncultured fungus. RNAcentral's name for it is "sequence contains ITS1". Lineage: Eukaryota; Fungi. The record is from RNAcentral.